Molecule: transfer RNA, 83 nt
Filed under: Clostridia bacterium
Lineage: Bacteria; Bacillati; Bacillota; Clostridia
Also listed under: 1 other name
Description: tRNA-Leu
Rfam family: tRNA
About the family: Transfer RNA (tRNA) molecules are approximately 80 nucleotides in length. Their secondary structure includes four short double-helical elements and three loops (D, anti-codon, and T loops).
Source: RNAcentral
GCGGAUGUGGCGAAAUUGGCAGACGCACUAGACUUAGGAUCUAGCGCCGCAAGGCAUGUGGGUUCGACCCCCUCCAUCCGCAC